This 5783-nucleotide long non-coding RNA is filed under the name Coffea arabica (coffee). Its description in RNAcentral is "long non-coding RNA (CARA_LNC007479)". The record is from RNAcentral. Lineage: Eukaryota; Viridiplantae; Streptophyta; Magnoliopsida; Gentianales; Rubiaceae.
GUGUUUUUCUUGUUUUCGGUUAUUUGCUUUAUCACUCACAAGAUAAAUAAAGCUUGUUUUGGUUUCAUUUGGCUCUAACUGUUACCUUUCCAUCACAAUUAUAGAUUGAGGGAUUUUAUAUGUAUUUGAACUAUUUAUGCAUUAAUAAAUGACAUAUUUAUCAUAUUGAUUGCUUGUAUAUUUAUACUUGUAUGAUAAAAUCUCAAGAAUAAAUUUGAUCAAUGAAAUCAUAAGUGUUAUGAUGGUUGAUAGAACGAUUAUUUGGCGUAUUUUGCACUGUUAUUUUGUCCUAAUUUUGGCUAUUCUCGGUACUAAGAAUUGGAAUUUCACUCAUAUUCGAUAUUUGUGUGAAUUGUAGGUGGUAGGCAUGAAAAAUGAUCUCGCGGGGUGAAUUUCCAGAAGACUUCCCGUUCCAAGGCGUGGCCACGCCUUAAAAGGUGGACGAAACCGAAAGCCGGACUGCGGUCCACGUGGACCGCGAGGAGCACGGGAUUAAAACUCCAAAAGCUAGCUUUUGUUUCAAUCAAUUGGGUCAGACGUGACUUGGCUCAAAGAAGGGCUUCAAUUAAAAAGAAAAGAAAGGGCCAGACGUUUGUUUGUGGUUUUUGACCUCCUGCGGCGGCUAUUAAAAGAUAGGAAAAAGCUAGAUUCAGGACAUCAUCUACUUUAGGCUUUAGUUUUCUUUUCCCUAGCCGUCAGACGUUGGAGACUCUUCUCUUGCUUUUUGGCUUUCACGUUUUUGACUCUCUCACUUGAGUCUUCGGAUCUGUACAAUUCGUGGGGGCUUUUGGCAUUGAAUUUGGGGAUUCAGUACGAUUGCCAACGCAGAGAUAAGGAAGACGCUCUCUUUUUUCUUUCUUCGUACUUCACUGUUCCAGAUUCUUUGAUGUCUGCGUGGAUGAAAUUAAUUAAUUCGCGCAAGAUUGACACGAUGAGGAGCGGCUAAUUUCCUCCUCUACCCAAAGGUUGACGCAAAGGCGCGGUCCAUAAUAUCUGUGAGAUCUAAUCGAAUUUCAUUAUUUCUUCCAUUUUAUUGCUAUUCGUGCGUUUCCUGAAUUAAUUGUUCAUGGGUAUUUUAUUAAUUGAAUAUCAACGGCCGGGUAUUUGAUUUAAUUUAAUAGCCUACUGCCACGUUAAUUAAAUAGAAUCCGUAAUUGUUCAUUUAAUUGACACCCCGUGGCAACCACCAUAAUUGGCUUUAUGAUGGGGAAACGCAUGAUCUAAUUUAAAUAAACCCUCUUAGCGUGUUUAUUGGUUAGGGUUGGGUUCUUCUAGCUUUAAUGCAAUUGGGUAAUUAAAUUCCUAUGGUCGUACCUAGGGUUGUUAUCUGGUUAGGGAAGCAGUUAAUGGUCGUACCUUGACUGUCGAAAAGGUAAGGAAGAACUGGUUGUCAGAGCUUAUUGAUAACUAUAACCAACCUAGUGAUGAAUGGGUGAAAUAUCUUUGUAUCGAUGAACAUUUACUUGGACCGUGCCUGAGCAGUUGAUCCUUUGGGUAGAACUUUUAUUAAUUGCUAUUUCUAGUGAAUUGUGCUUUGUGAGUUAGUUUUGAAUUUUGUAUGUUUUAUUUUAUUUUAUUUUUAUUUGCCUCUUAUUGAAAAUCCCCCAAUUUCGUUCUACUAAUUUGAAAAGAAAUAAUUUCCUACCUGCUCCCUGUGGAAUCGACCCUACUUGCCAUUGUACGCAAAAUUAGUAUUUUUAUAGAUAAAUCCGGUAUAUCGGAUCAAGCAAACUCUUCGGGAACAGGGUGAAUCAAGUAACCCAUUGCACACCUAGGGUCCCUGCUCCAUUACUUGGAUUUGUUCUAUAAUUAUUUAAUUGAGGUGGUAAUUAGAACUUUUUAGUAAUUAUUAUUGCACAGGUUCGGCACCUGUCAAUUUUUGGCGCCGUUGCCGGGGAGCUGGCGUUUGGAUUAUUUGUUUCUUUUCAAAUUCAGUUUUUAUUUUUAUUUUUAUUUUAUUUUAUUUUUCUUGGUACUUUUGCUAGUUUAUGCCCCGUUCGUCUCGCACAGGUGAAUUGAUAUACGACGCGGAGGUUGAGAAGGCAGCGCGUAAGCGGAGGCAAGAGACCAAGAGACGAAAAGAAGGGCACUCAUUUACUGCAAACGAGUCAGUAGAAGACGAAAUAAGUAUGGCCAACACCCAAACAUUAAGGGAGCUGGCUGCCCCGGAACUGACUCACCAGCCCUUGUGCAUCACAUUCCCCACUUUGGCUGAGAAUACGGCUUUCGAACUGAAGUCGGGGUUGAUUCACCUCUUACCUUCUUUCCAUGGUCUCUCUGGCGAAGAAUCGCACAAGCACGUCAAGGAGUUCGAGGUGGUUUGCUCUAGUAUGAAAUCCCCUGGGGUCACUGAAGAGCAAAUUAGACUGAGAGCCUUCCCGUUUUCUCUCAAAGAUGCAGCUAAAGAUUGGCUGUACUACCUACCAGCAGGUAGUAUUACCACAUGAGCGCAGCUGAAAAAGAAAUUCUUGGAAAAAUUCUUCCCUGCAUCCCGGGCUGCGAGUUUGAGGAAGGAGAUCUGCGGCAUUAAACAAUAUCCCGGUGAGUCCUUGUAUGAAUACUGGGAAAGGUUUAACAAGUUGUGCACUAGAUGCCCGCAGCAUCAAAUUAGUGAGCAACUAUUAAUCCAAUACUUCUAUGAGGGGCUCCAAUCAACAGACAGAAGUAUCAUUGACGCUGCCAGUGGGGGAGCACUUGCAAACAAGACACCGAGGGAAGCGUGGGAGCUCAUCGAAGCCAUGGCAGAGAACUCCCAGCAAUUUGGCUUCCGUGAGAGCAACCCUCCUCGUAGAGUCAACGAGGUAGAGACUUCAUCCUUACAGCAGCAACUGUCAGAAUUGACAUCGGUUGUUAGGCAAUUAGCCAUGAGAGACAUGCCGCGAGCGAAAGUAUGUGGAAUCUGCACUAGCAUGGACCAUUGCACAGACUCGUGCCCCAUUUUGCAAGAGGAUGGGCUGAGCAAGUGAACAUGGCUGGAGGCGUGCCCGCGCCUCGUAGGCAAUACGAUCCGUAUUCCAACACGUACAAUCCGGGUUGGAGAGAUCACCCCAAUCUCAGCUAUGGUAGUAGGCCACAAAAUGCAUUCUCCAAUCGGCCUCCAGGAUUUCAGCAACCUUGGCAACAUAAGUCUCAACCCUCGUCCUCAAGCUCAGGGAGUUCUCUGAAAGAAAUUGUCAAGAGUUUGGCCAACACUACCACUCAACUCGUCACGACCACCACUCAGUUCCAACAGGACACCAAAGCAGGCAUGAAGGACAUGGAGAUUCGAAUGAGUCAAAUGGCAACUGCCAUUAACCGCCUGGAGUCCCACGUCUAUGGGAAAUUGCCAUCACAACCCGAGGCAAAUCCCAAGAAUGUAAGUGCCAUGACAUUAAGGAGUGGCAAAGAGGUGGAUGGACCUAAAGUGGUAAAUUCGAAAAGCAAAAGUGAGGAGGAGAUAGAAAAGGAGAUUGAAGAGGAAGGGCGCAUUCGCGAAGAGUCUAAGGUAACAUCUAUUCCUUCGAUCCCUAUUAAAUCUAAUAUAGCUCCUUUUCCUUGCAGGUUGGAAAAGACAAAGAGGGCAGAAAAGGAAAAAGAAAUCCUGGAUGUGUUCCGCAAAGUUCAAGUAAACAUCCCCCUAUUGGAUGCGAUCAAGCAGGUACCCAAGUACGCAAAGUUCUUGAAAGACUUGUGCGUUAACAAAAGAAAGCUAAGGGGUGAUGAAAGAGUGAUGGUAGGAGAGAAUGUAUCAGCUGUACUUCAAAGGAAACUCUCACCCAAAUGCGGAGAUCCAGGUAUGUUUGCUAUCCCCUGUAAGAUUGGUCAUUCUAGUAUCAAAAAUGCCAUGAUAGAUUUAGGAGCUUCUAUUAAUGUGAUGCCUAAGUUAAUCUAUGAUUCCCUAAAUUUAGGACCUUUAAAAGAAACGGGGAUAAUAAUUCAAUUGGCUGAUCGUACAUGUGCUUAUCCGGAUGGGAUAGUUGAGGAUGUUUUAGUGCAAGUAGAUGGAUUAAUUUUUCCUGCUGAUUUUUAUGUACUUUACAUGGAUGAUAGAAGUGCCCCAAAUCUAUCACCCAUUAUAUUAGGAAGACCAUUUUUGAGUACUGCCCAAACUAAAAUUGAUGUUAGUAAGGGUACUCUCACGAUGGAAUUUGAUGGAGAAAUAGUCCACUUUAACAUUUUUGAUACAAUGAAACAUCCUGUUAACUCUCAUUCUGUGUUUGCUAUGUAUACCACUAAUCCCUCUGUGCAAGAAUUUUCUAAGUUUGCUUGUAGGGGUAAAUCCAAGGUUGCUACGAACAAGUCCUAUAGGAUGAAAGCAAUUCAUGAGGUAAAAAUGGAGAGAAAAUUUAGGAAAAAAGUUGCACUCAAUGGCCAUGUGGAUCCUGGAGGAGGGCCACCAAUUACAAGGAAAAUUCAAUUACAUCCAGACUAAAGAGUGGUGCUAUGUCUAGCCAAAGACAUUAAAGAAAGGCGCUGCUUGGGAGGCAACCCAAGGCUUCUUUUGUUUUAGUUUUCUUAUAUUUUUUAAGUUUUUGUUAAGUGUUAGUGUCACUUAGUGGGUUGUUAUUUUGUGACAGGAAGUUGGCAGCUAGGCAUGCCCACGCUAGGUCAUCACACCUAAGGAAUGGAGUUUUGGAAUUGACGGUCAGACGACUAUAACUUCUAAGGCGUGCCCACGCCUUCCAACCCUUCCGAAAAAGAAACUUCAGUCUUCUCCUUCCUGUUGGUGUUGCGUCCACCGCCACCACACCACCUUGUGCACGCAGCCGUCUCACCUCCUCCGUCUUAGUGUCUCACUUUCUCUCCCCGGUGGUCAGGGAAGUUUCUUUUCUUUUCCCCUAAUACUUCAUUUGUCUUUUCUAUAUUGAGGACAAUGUAGGUUUUAGGUGUGGGGGGGAGUGGCUUCCAUUAGUUCUUUCUUUUUCAUUAGUUCUUUUUGCUUUGUUACUUUAAAAAAAAAAAAAACACAUGGGAUGAAUGAUACAAAAAAAAAAUGAAAAAAUAAAAAACAUUGUAGUUAGUUGGCUUUUUGGUUAUUUCUAUGCUUGUUAGUGUUGGGGCAUGUUGCUGUGAUGAAUGACACAAUCAAAGUGAGUGGUUAUGUGGUCAAGUAUGCUAGCUAUGCAUUUUGUUUCCCUUGGCAAUGUCGUUGAAUGUUGAAUAUGCAGGAAUUGACCCAUUCUUGUAACUUUUGCGGAGCUUUUGAGCCUUGCUUGAGCAUAUUAUUCUUAUUUGCUCUAUUUUGUUUGAUUGAGUGGGUAUCACACAUGGUAUUGGCAUUCUAGAACUUGCUAGUUUAUACAUGUCAAGGCCACAUUUUUGUUGAAUUGGAUGCAUUUGAAAUGAUAAGGGCAUUUAGGAUUUAACCCUCUUUAGCUAUCUAAAAAAAUCAAGCCCUCAUCUUAUCUCCCAAUAGUGAACCAAUUUGAGCUUUUGUCCCUCGUUUCUGGUUGUUAUCGGUGUUUGUUAACCCAAGACCUCUUUAAACUUUCUUGUUUAUCCCUGUGUUGUCAUGGGAUGUCUGAAUUCCAUCAUUUGUGCAAAGCAAACAAAAUUGGGGUUGCAAGUACUAUUAGAUUAGGAGCUAUAUGAUGCUAUCCUUGUAUAAAGGAGGGGAAAUUGGAAAAAGGCCACUGACCAGAGGACUUUGGCUUACAGGGCGUGCCCACGCCUUACAGGACUCUCCCUUGUUAAAAAAAAAAAAAAAAAACUGAAUAGACCUCAUGACCAGAGGACUAUGGGCUACAAGGCGUGCCCACGCCUUGUGAGCAGUUCAAAAAAAAAAAAAAAAAAAAAAAAAAAUU